CACCAGCAUCAUCAGGGAAACCCAGGAGGGGGGGACAGCACAGCCACCUGCACCUGACAACUUAGUGACAUUCCAAAAGCUCACUUUCUAAGUCAGUUUCAAAAUACAGCAGAGUUGAAAGAAUUUGGAGUGAAUACUGCAAAUACUAUUUGGAUGCUGUCAGUGGUUAAGGUGUGGCCACGCCGCGUGGGAGCGGGCCUUAAUCCAUGGCUGAAGUCCUCAUACACCAAGGAAGUUGGACACGGAAAGAGAAGCCAGAAGUCAGUGGAAGCUGGAGAAUAAGGCAGAGCACCGUGCGGCGGAGGCUGAGACGCAAGCCAGGGAGCCCAAGGAGCCAGGACACUAAGCUCCUUCUAUCCUCCCUACUGGGAAACGAUUAAUUCCAUUGCUUAAGCCAACCAGUGUCUUGUGUUUUUCACAGCAGCCCUGGCAAACUAAGACACAUUGUAUGACAAUACCACAGUUUGUUUAUCCAUUUUCCUACCGAUGGACACUUGGGCUAUUUCUGCUUUUUUGGUUAUUACAAAUACAUCUGCUCCAAGCAUUCUUGUACAGCUCUGUC
This is a long non-coding RNA of Choloepus didactylus (southern two-toed sloth), 562 nucleotides long. RefSeq lists it as uncharacterized. NCBI's taxonomy places the organism in Eukaryota, Metazoa, Chordata, Mammalia, Pilosa, Megalonychidae. The record is from RefSeq and is a predicted model, not a curated record. The transcript is spliced from 2 exons.